RNAcentral lists this unclassified non-coding RNA (329 nucleotides) under soil metagenome. RNAcentral describes it as "partial contains 5.8S ribosomal RNA, internal transcribed spacer 2, and large subunit ribosomal RNA". The stretch from base 1 to 120 matches the Rfam family "5.8S ribosomal RNA", at positions 35 to 154 of the family's 154-position model. The record is from RNAcentral.
GAUGAAGAACGUAGUGAAAUGCGAUAAGUAAUGUGAAUUGCAGAAUUCAGUGAAUCAUCGAAUCUUUGAACGCACAUUGCGCCCCUUGGUAUUCCGAGGGGCAUGCCUGUUCGAGCGUCAUUAUAACCCCUCAAGCUCAGCUUGGUGUUGGGGCCUGCUGCACUGGCAGCCCUUAAAAUCAGUGGCGGCGCCAUCCGGCUCUAAGCGUAGUAAUUCUUCUCGCUAUGGAGUCCUGGUGGAUGCUUGCCAUCAACCCCCAAUUUUUCUAUGGUUGACCUCGGAUCAGGUAGGGAUACCCGCUGAACUUAAGCAUAUCAAUAAGCGGAGGA